UAUACGACCGUACCGCAAACCGACACUGGUGCGCGAGAUGAGUAUUCUAAGGCGCUUGAGAGAACUCAGGAGAAGGAACUCGGCAAAUUGACACCGUAACUUCGGAAGAAGGUGUGCCCUAUUAGUGUGUAGUGAACAACGAAGCAUGAAUGGGUUGCAAAAAAUCGGUGGCUGCGACUGUUUAUUAAAAACACAGCACUCUGCAAACACGAAAGUGGACGUAUAGGGUGUGACGCCUGCCCGGUGCUGGAAGAUUAAAUGAUGGGGUGCAAGCUCUUGAUUGAAGUCCCAGUAAACGGCGGCCGUAACAAUAACGGUCCUAAGGUAGCGAAAUUCCUUGUCGGGUAAGUUCCGACCUGCACGAAUGGCGUAACGAUGGCCACACUGUCUCCUCCUGAGACUCAGCGAAGUUGAAAUGUUUGUGAUGAUGCAAUCUCCCCGCGGAAAGACGGAAAGACCCCAUGAACCUUUACUGUAGCUUUGUAUUGGACUUUGAACAGAUCUGUGUAGGAUAGGUGGGAGGCUUUGAAGCAGGGUCGCUAGAUCUUGUGGAGCCAACGUUGAAAUACCACCCUGGUGUGUUUGAGGUUCUAACCUAGGUCCAUUAUCUGGAUCGGGGACAGUGCAUGGUAGGCAGUUUGACUGGGGCGGUCUCCUCCCAAAGCGUAACGGAGGAGUUCGAAGGUACGCUAGUUACGGUCGGACAUCGUGACGAUAGUGCAAUGGCAUAAGCGUGCUUAACUGCGAGACUGACAAGUCGAGCAGAUGCGAAAGCAGGACAUAGUGAUCCGGUGGUUCUGUAUGGAAGGGCCAUCGCUCAACGGAUAAAAGGUACUCUGGGGAUAACAGGCUGAUACCGCCCAAGAGUUCAUAUCGACGGCGGUGUUUGGCACCUCGAUGUCGGCUCAUCUCAUCCUGGGGCUGUAGCCGGUCCCAAGGGUAUGGCUGUUCGCCAUUUAAAGAGGUACGUGAGCUGGGUUUAAAACGUCGUGAGACAGUUUGGUCCCUAUCUUCCGUGGGCGCUGCAGAUUUGAGGAAGCCUGCUCCUAGUACGAGAGGACCGGAGUGGACACACCUCUGGUGUAUCGGUUGUCACGCCAGUGGCAUUGCCGAGUAGCUAAGUGUGGAAGAGAUAACCGCUGAAAGCAUCUAAGCGGGAAACUCGUUUCAAGAUGAGAUCUGCCGGGGCCUUGAGCCCCCUAAAGAGUCGUUCAAGACCAGGACGUUGAUAGGUCAGGUGUGGAAGGGCAGUAGUGUGUUAAGCUAACUGAUACUAAUUGCUCGUGCGGCUUGACCCC
RNAcentral lists this ribosomal RNA (1298 nucleotides) under metagenome. RNAcentral describes it as "bacterial LSU rRNA". It matches the Rfam family "Bacterial large subunit ribosomal RNA", at positions 1635 to 2925 of the family's 2925-position model. The record is from RNAcentral.